Molecule: long non-coding RNA, 537 nt
Filed under: Homo sapiens (human)
Lineage: Eukaryota; Metazoa; Chordata; Mammalia; Primates; Hominidae
Description: long intergenic non-protein coding RNA 1589
Source: RNAcentral
CGCUCUCUCUCCUGCCACCUUGUAAAGAAGGUACAUGCUUCUCCUUUGCCUUCUGCCAUGAUUUUAAGUUUCCUGAAGCCUCCUCAGCCAUGCUGAACUCCAUGAUCACCACUUUGGCUCAACCUGGUACUGGAGGUCCUGCCCCGUGCAAUAAGGCAAGAAAAAGAAAAAGGCAUGAAGAUUGGAAAGCUGACACCAUGAAUCACAGUGGAAUUCUCCAAAUGGAAUGCAGCCACACCUCAGCUUCUGUGCUGCGUGCUGCCACUGAGGACAUUCGAUACCAUUGAAGCCGUCAGAUAGAGGAUGAAGACGGAUGGCCUCUUGGCACCCAUCUCUUUGGCAUGAACGAUGUGGGGAAACGUGAAUGGAAAUGGGGAACUGUUGCUGGCACCCAGAAGUCAUCCGGUCCGGAUGAAGCCAAGUCACAAGGAAGUGCCUCCAAUUAUUCUUCAUAAAUUCCUCUGAGGUUUCACUUCUUGUCCACACAAGACUUUAAUAAAAUGUGGCAUCUAACUGAAUAAAGACUAUCCUUUCGGG